GACAGCUUGGCCUAGUGGUUAAGGCGAUAGACUAGAAAUCUAUUGGGGUAACCCGCGUGAGUUCAAAUCUCACAGCUGUCG
RNAcentral lists this transfer RNA (81 nucleotides) under Phytophthora infestans T30-4. RNAcentral's name for it is "tRNA-Ser for anticodon GCU". It matches the Rfam family "tRNA". From Rfam's summary of the family: Transfer RNA (tRNA) molecules are approximately 80 nucleotides in length. Their secondary structure includes four short double-helical elements and three loops (D, anti-codon, and T loops). The record is from Rfam by way of RNAcentral. RNAcentral also lists the same sequence under 1 other name. Lineage: Eukaryota; Oomycota; Peronosporomycetes; Peronosporales; Peronosporaceae.